UGCCAGACUCCUACGGGAGGCAGCAGUGGGGAAUAUUGCACAAUGGGGGAAACCCUGAUGCAGCGACGCCGCGUGAGUGAAGAAGUAUUUCGGUAUGUAAAGCUCUAUCAGCAGGGAAGAAAAUGACGGUACCUGACUAAGAAGCCCCGGCUAACUACGUGCCAGCAGCCGCGGUAAUACGUAGGGGGCAAGCGUUAUCCGGAUUUACUGGGUGUAAAGGGAGCGUAGACGGCAGUGCAAGUCUGAAGUGAAAGCCCCGGGCUUAACCCGGGAAUUGCUUUGGAAACUGUACGGCUGGAGUGCUGGAGAGGUAAGCGGAAUUCCUAGUGUAGCGGUGAAAUGCGUAGAUAUUAGGAGGAACACCAGUGGCGAAGGCGGCUUACUGGACAGUAACUGACGUUGAGGCUCGAAAGCGUGGGGAGCAAACAGGAUUAGAUACCCCCGUAC
This 447-nucleotide ribosomal RNA is filed under the name uncultured bacterium. RNAcentral's name for it is "bacterial SSU rRNA". It matches the Rfam family "Bacterial small subunit ribosomal RNA", at positions 329 to 793 of the family's 1533-position model. The record is from RNAcentral.